AACGCUGGCGGCGUGCCUAAUACAUGCAAGUCGAACGCUUUGUGGUUCAACUGAUUUGAAGAGCUUGCUCAGAUAUGACGAUGGACAUUGCAAAGAGUGGCGAACGGGUGAGUAACACGUGGGAAACCUACCUCUUAGCAGGGGAUAACAUUUGGAAACAGAUGCUAAUACCGUAUAACAAUAGCAACCGCAUGGUUGCUACUUAAAAGAUGGUUCUGCUAUCACUAAGAGAUGGUCCCGCGGUGCAUUAGUUAGUUGGUGAGGUAAUGGCUCACCAAGACGAUGAUGCAUAGCCGAGUUGAGAGACUGAUCGGCCACAUUGGA
This 324-nucleotide ribosomal RNA is filed under the name Weissella sp. 3H6. RNAcentral describes it as "bacterial SSU rRNA". It matches the Rfam family "Bacterial small subunit ribosomal RNA", at positions 32 to 317 of the family's 1533-position model. Lineage: Bacteria; Bacillati; Bacillota; Bacilli; Lactobacillales; Lactobacillaceae. The record is from RNAcentral.